CCCUUAGAUGUUCUGGGCUGCACGCGCGCUACACUGAAGCGUUCAACGAGUAUUCACCUUGCCCGGGAGGGUUGGGUAAUCUUUUGAAAACGCUUCGUGAUGGGGAUAGAUUAUUGCAAUUAUUAAUCUUCAACGAGGAAUUCCUAGUAAGCGCGAGUCAUCAGCUCGUGCUGAUUACGUCCCUGCCCUUUGUACACACCGCCCGUCGCACCUACCGAUUGAAUGGUCCGGUGAAAUCUCCGGACUGGCGUGAGUCGGAGCAAUCUGACAAACACCGGAAAGUUGAUUAAACCUUACCAUUUAGAGGAAGGUGAAGUCGUAACA
This 324-nucleotide ribosomal RNA is filed under the name uncultured eukaryote. RNAcentral describes it as "partial 18S ribosomal RNA". It matches the Rfam family "Eukaryotic small subunit ribosomal RNA", at positions 1470 to 1796 of the family's 1831-position model. The record is from RNAcentral.